Molecule: ribosomal RNA, 133 nt
Filed under: uncultured bacterium
Lineage: Bacteria
Description: partial 16S ribosomal RNA
Source: RNAcentral
UAGGCAACGUCAGGGCCUAAGGUUAUUAACCUUAAACUUUUCCUCCCUACUGAAAGUGCUUUACAACCCUAAGGCCUUCUUCACACACGCGGCAUUGCUGCAUCAGAGUUUCCUCCAUUGUGCAAUAUUCCCC